CCAUCGGCUACUGGUAUGCUGUGCUACACGCGUGCUACAAUGGCGGUGACAGUGGGAAGCUAGAUGGCGACAUCGUGCUGAUCUCUAAAAGCCGUCUCAGUUCGGAUUGCACUCUGCAACUCGAGUGCAUGAAGGUGGAAUCGCUAGUAAUCGCGGAUCAGCAUGCCGCGGUGAAUACGUUCCCGGGCCUUGUACACACCGCCCGUCACACCAUGGGAGUUGGUUUGACCUUAAGCCGGUGAGCGAACCCGCAAGGGGCGCAGCCGACCACGGUCGGGUCAGCGACUGGGGUGAAGUCGUAACAAGGUAGCCGUAGGGGAACCUGCGGUUGGAUCACCUCCUAA
This 344-nucleotide ribosomal RNA is filed under the name Acetobacter ghanensis. RNAcentral describes it as "bacterial SSU rRNA". It matches the Rfam family "Bacterial small subunit ribosomal RNA", at positions 1190 to 1533 of the family's 1533-position model. The record is from RNAcentral. Lineage: Bacteria; Pseudomonadati; Pseudomonadota; Alphaproteobacteria; Acetobacterales; Acetobacteraceae.